RNAcentral lists this ribosomal RNA (494 nucleotides) under uncultured bacterium. RNAcentral describes it as "partial 16S ribosomal RNA". It matches the Rfam family "Bacterial small subunit ribosomal RNA", at positions 28 to 507 of the family's 1533-position model. The record is from RNAcentral.
GACGAACGCUGGCGGCGUGCUUAACACAUGCAAGUCGAACGGUGAAGCGCCUUCCUUGUUGGUGGGUGUGGAGGAGUGGCGAACGGGUGAGUAACACGUGAGUAACCUGCCCCCUUCUUCUGGAUAACCGCAUGAAAGUGUGGCUAAUACGGGAUAUUCUGGGUCUGUCGCAUGAUGGGUCUGGGAAAGAUAUUGUUUCGGUGGGGGAUGGGCUCGCGGCCUAUCAGCUUGUUGGUGGGGUGAUGGCCUACCAAGGCGGUGACGUGUAGCCGGCCUGGGAGGGUCGGCGGUCACACUGGUGCUGAGACACGGCCAAGACUACGACAGGAAGCAGCAGUGAGGAAUCUUGCACAAGCGGCGCCAGGAUGAUGCAGCGACGCGGCGGGAGGGAUGGUGUCCGGCGCGUUGAGAUCCGCUUUCGCGAGUGAAGCAAUGUUGCCUCGUUUGUGCGUGGGUUGACGGUACCUGGACAGGAAGCGCCGGCUAACUACGUG